Molecule: unclassified non-coding RNA, 20 nt
Filed under: Drosophila melanogaster (fruit fly)
Lineage: Eukaryota; Metazoa; Arthropoda; Insecta; Diptera; Drosophilidae
Source: RNAcentral
GCAGUGAAGCCUCGCUAAGG